UACGUAGGGCGCAAGCGUUAUCCGGAUUUAUUGGGCGUAAAGCGCGUGUAGGCGGCCAUACAGGUCCGUUGUGAAAACUCGAGGCUUAACCUCGAGACGUCGAUGGAAACCGUAUGGCUAGAGUCCGGAAGAGGAGAGUGGAAUUCCUGGUGUAGCGGUGAAAUGCGCAGAUAUCAGGAAGAACACCCGUGGCGAAGGCGGCUCUCUGGGACGGUACUGACGCUGAGACGCGAAAGCGUGGGGAGCGAACAGG
This 253-nucleotide ribosomal RNA is filed under the name uncultured bacterium. Its description in RNAcentral is "partial 16S ribosomal RNA". It matches the Rfam family "Bacterial small subunit ribosomal RNA", at positions 524 to 776 of the family's 1533-position model. The record is from RNAcentral.